RNAcentral lists this ribosomal RNA (460 nucleotides) under uncultured bacterium. RNAcentral's name for it is "partial 16S ribosomal RNA". It matches the Rfam family "Bacterial small subunit ribosomal RNA", at positions 338 to 795 of the family's 1533-position model. The record is from RNAcentral.
CCUACGGGGUGCAGCAGUGGGGAAUAUUGGUCAAUGGACGAGAGUCUGAACCAGCCACGUAGCGUGAAGGAUGACUGCCCUCUGGUUUGUAAACUUCUUUUAUAUGGGAGUAAAAUGUUCCACGUGUGGGAUUUUGUGUGUACCAUAUGAAUGAGGCACGGCUAACUCCGUGCCAGCAGCCGCGGGAAUACGGAGGAUCCGAGCGUUAUCCGGAUUUAGUGGGUGUAAAGGGAGCGUAGGUGGGUAGUUAAGGCAGUUGUGAAAUUUUGCGGCUCAACCUUAAAAUUGCAGUUGAAACUGGCAGUCUUGAGUACAGUAGAGGUGGGCGGAAUUCGUGGUGUAGCGGUGAAAUGCUUAGAUAUCACGAAGAACACCGAUUGCGAAGGCAGUUCACUGGACUGCAACUGACACUGAGGCUCGAAAGUGUGGGUAUCAAACAGGAUUAGAUACCCCAGUAGUC